GAGUUUCAACUGGAGGCGGGAGAGGAGAGUCAGCGAGAACGAAGAUGGACAGACUGCGGAAACAUAAAUGAAGAUGGAGUCUCAAACUAUCACCUGGGCUGGAGUGCGAUGGCAUGAUCUCGGCUCACUGCAACCUCUGCCUCCAGGGUUCAAGCGAUUCUCCUGCCUCAGCCUCCCAAGUAGCUAGGACUACAGCUCCCGCAUACCUCCACCUGCCAUAUUGGCCUGCCAUGGUAGGCCAGGGAGAGAGAAAAAGGAAGAAAAGAGAAGAGAAAAGAAAAAUGUGUUGCCUACUGCCCCUGCCUUUAUUGGGAUGGACAGCUGGAGUAAACAUCAUCCAGAAAGACUGGGACUCUGGGUCCUCUCAAACCCAGCACACCCGCACCACGAAUACCAGCCCCCAGCAAGAAACCUCUAAGCACUUUGUGAGUAUUCAUCGCCUAAACAUAUUUCAUUUCCAGUCUUGCCCAACUGAUCUCAGCCUUAACUGUUUAACUGGGCUGGUCUCUGAGCAGACUCUGUAGCUGCCCUGAAAUCAGGUUACUGGCACAGCCUGUAGAUAUUGACUGAUUCAAAGAUUACAGUUGAGCAAACAGGAGCAUGUUAAUUUUUAAUUUCACUUUGUUGAUAAAUCGGGCUUCCUCUUUGUCCUAUAACCGAUAAUUACCUGGUCAGAAGAAACAUGCGAUACUUGACCUGCAAUGAAAGUCCACUUGUCUGGCCUUCCUGGCCCUAGCUGGGUUUUUCAAAGGAGCUCCCAUACUGGUUUGGCCUCAGUCAGCUGUUAAAGAAUUGAGGGACUUCUGAGUUGCGCAACCCUGAGUCAAUGUGAGACCCAAGCUGAACAGCAUGGGACUCUUAAGAAUUAAAGUGGAGACCUAAGGAAGAUCUUUGAGGUUUGGGAUUUGGGGUAGGAAUGGGGUUUUUUUCUAACAAAGGAGAGACUGUGACAGAGAAAGUGUUUCUUUCAUGGCUUCCAGUUCACACUAAGUCACCCUCAUUCUGGAGCCAAGGUUGUUCUCAAAGGUGACUUUACCACAGUAAAACAUGAGGACAGAAAACAGCAGCCGUGUGUCCGCCUCAUCACACAAGAGCCGUACUGUUUGCUAAGUCUCUUAGUUCACACAACCGUGGUGCCAUCCUGGGAAAUAAUUACCAGUACUCCCAUUGUAUGGAGAAAGAAUUAAUUUGCAGUUUAUAUCUCUAAAGGGUCCAAUUACUUCAUAUAGAGAUCUGUCGCAUUGUUUUUCUCUUCCUUUUUUUUUUUUUUCCCCCUGUUGCUUUUAGGGGCCAAAGCGGUUUCAGUUUGAAACCAUGAUGAAUUUAACAUAAAUCAAGAAAAGCAACAGAAGCAACUUUUCCCAUCUGGAAUGGAGUACAGCCUUCUAUUUUAUGCUAUUUGUCUACCCUGUCACUAACUGCAGAGAAAACGUUCUAAAAACUGCCCUUUGUAGCCUCAAGCCAUUUCCCUAGGGCUGUUUGACUUAAAAAAAAAAAAAAAAAAAAAAAAGAGCCAGAGAAAUAAAAAAUGUGGGCAGAGCCUGAGUGGUUUUAAGUCAAAGACCUACUGAGCAGGGAUUCAUUUAGUGGGUUAUUUUAAAUAAUUCAAUCCAGAAAAAAUUGGUUGAAUAUAUACAUAUAUGCCUCACCAAUUUCAUUCACAGAUGUUGGCAAGUGACUGAAAACAGGAAGGGAAACUUUGUUCAAUGCUCGGAGAUGAAUGUACCAAAUUAUACAAUCCCUGCAGAAUUUGAGAACUGGAAGGGGACUAAGAAAUCAGUUAGUCUAGUAAGUUAGGGCUUGCAAUCUUUUUCUGGGGAGGUACUUCUGAGUUCCCUUACAUUUUAUGAUCAUCAGAGACACGAUUCUUCAUACAGCUAGAGAGGGGAAGGUGGGAUUUUAUUGAGCAUGUAAUGUUAUCAUCCGCCUACUUUGAGGAUUCCCAAGUCUUCCCAUUGCCUAUGGGAGUAUUUCUGUGGGACAUCAGUACCGUGGAUUGUUCACCACAAAGGUUUCCAGGGUCACACCUGUUUAGGAAAUGCUGUGUGUUAUAUCCAACUUUGGAUAUUUGCAAAGUACACCUGCAUAAUAAAUGCUGUUGCACUGAGUGAGAA
Non-coding RNA from Homo sapiens (human), 2114 nucleotides. NCBI's taxonomy places the organism in Eukaryota, Metazoa, Chordata, Mammalia, Primates, Hominidae. The record is from RefSeq and is a predicted model, not a curated record.